AUGAAGCUGGCUUUGAAGAUUCUGGCGACUGUUGAGGAUGAUGAUGAUGAUGAUGAUGGUGCAGAUAUCAUUAUUGUCUUGUCUCCAAGAAAGAAAGUAGCCCCAGGAAACAUGUCUGAAGCACCCCUGAUCGAUCAAUCAAUGAGAAUAAACUGGCACGGUGGCCUCGUCUGCAACGGAUCCGAAACCGUAGGGAAGAGGAAGAGAAGAAAUGACGAAAGCGGAGGGCAUUUUCCGCGAGGGGAUAAAUGUGGCGAAUUUGUAGGGAAGGGAGGGUUGCAAGUGGAUGAGGAAGCAGUGUAG
Molecule: ribosomal RNA, 303 nt
Filed under: Triticum aestivum (bread wheat)
Lineage: Eukaryota; Viridiplantae; Streptophyta; Magnoliopsida; Poales; Poaceae
Description: partial small subunit ribosomal RNA
Source: RNAcentral